GCCCAUAGAUUUGGGGAGGGGGGCAGCAGCCCAUAGCUUUGGGUGGGCAGCAGCCUAUAGAUAUAAAGAAAUGAACAGGAAGGGUCAGCAAGGAGCUGGAAGGUAAAGCAGCACAAAGGUAAAGUAGAAGGAGCAGAAAGGGUCAGAAAUGAGCUGGAAGGGGCAGAAGGAGUACAAACAUAAAGUAGGAGAAUGAGCAGGAAGGGCCUGCAAGGAGCAGGAAGGAGCAGAAAGGG
Non-coding RNA from Pelobates cultripes (western spadefoot toad), 236 nucleotides. The record is from the annotation of a GenBank genome assembly. Lineage: Eukaryota; Metazoa; Chordata; Amphibia; Anura; Pelobatidae.